Cinara cedri is the source of this 212-nucleotide non-coding RNA. The record is from the annotation of a GenBank genome assembly. Lineage: Eukaryota; Metazoa; Arthropoda; Insecta; Hemiptera; Aphididae.
UUUGUGUACGACGACAUAAUGGUGUAAACACUUUGGGAGUGGACCAUAUUCAGUUAUAGGUUUCGCACGCCGCUACGAAAAAGGUCGUGUCGUCUCGAUUCAGUUCGUAUCUCUACUCGUUCAAACACAUUAAAUCAGAAGUUCGUAAAAGUGAAUUACGAUCUUUUUCGUCGGGACAGGCGAUACGAUAAGAAAAUGGAAAAAUUGAGAUA